AGCAGUAGCCACGGUAAUACGUAGGUGGCAAGCGUUGCCCGGAAUUAUUGGGCGUAAAGGGCUCGCAGGCGGUUUCUUAAGUCUGAUGUGAAAGCCCCCGGCUCAACCGGGGAGGGUCAUUGGAAACUGGGAAACUUGAGUGCAGAAGAGGAGAGUGGAAUUCCACGUGUAGCGGUGAAAUGCGUAGAGAUGUGGAGGAACACCAGUGGCGAAGGCGACUCUCUGGUCUGUAACUGACGCUGAGGAGCGAAAGCGUGGGGAGCGAACAGGAUUAGAUACCCGAGUAGUCCCUGUCUCUUAUAA
Molecule: ribosomal RNA, 303 nt
Filed under: uncultured bacterium
Lineage: Bacteria
Description: partial 16S ribosomal RNA
Rfam family: Bacterial small subunit ribosomal RNA
Source: RNAcentral